AUACCUUGCAUGUGCAUUUCCCUGUGGAUAUAUUUUUUACAUCGACUGUUUUUGGAAUUAGCACAGCAAACAUCUACUUGGAAUCAUGAGUUAUAUUAUCUUUGCCGAAAGGACUUUUGUUUAAACGUUCCCUCCUUUGCAACAGAGUUCGACUAAUGAAUACACCCUGGCCGUACAGUACCGUUUCGGUUUAAUUCAACGUUGUACACUUCUGUCAUACUGAAAGCAACACUUGCUGAACAGGAAUCUAGAUCCUACUAUCUCCAGUGAGUGGACGGCCACAAGAGUUAACAUUUUCCUCAGCAAAUAUUUUUGAUCUAAAACUUUAUUUUCCAUCCAAAACUGAAGCAUGUUUCUUGUGAACCAACCAAAUCACUAGCUGUGUACCACAACCCCAUUGAUGUACAGCCAUUGUAACGUAUGCCUUCAUGACAGUAAGUCAUUAACGGCAGGGUUAUGGUACAAUACCAAUUGACAUGCAUCUUGUUUGUCACCUUAGAGUAGCGAAUAGUAUGGAAGGCUUGUUUGUGGAGCUAGUGAGGCUGAAGGUCCACAGUGUCCCCAGUAUCGGAUGAAGGAGUUCCUGGGGUCCCUGUCCAACAAGAGCUCAGAGGCACUGCAGGAGUUCAACCAGCAGGCAGGUGUUAUCACUACAACCACCACCAUGGUUUACCAGCAGGGGGUCAACUGCAUCUACACAGACAGCAACGAGGUGGCUGGGUCACUGCUGGAACUGUCUGUCUGCAACAGCAGGUACAGGUGUCCCAGCAGAAGGUGAUGUCAUGACAGCAGCAGCUCUCGCCCCAUAUGACCACAGCCGCAAGGCCAAGACAAUACAGCUUUGCGUUACUGGACUGAACAGACCUGGGAUGACCUCAUUGAGCUGGCUGGAGGCACAGUGAAUAAUGCUCAGGCCACAGUGUCCUCCUUAACAACUAUCACCACAGUGGCAGUGAAUGACUUGCAGACCUUUGGCCCCUCUGACCAGGGUUGUGUUCAAUUGGAGCAAAUGGGAGAAAACAAUGGAAAAAUGGAAGACGUGCCACAUGAAUUUGUCAUUUAGGAACACUGACUUUGGUUUUCUGUUUGAAAAUGUUUAUUUCAAGCUAGGCUUACAUUCAUGGUUGACAAAGCACUUUUUACAUUGGUUUGUCAACCAUUGGUCUCAGCCAUUGGCCCAGCUAGGCAGGGUAGUAAUACUGUGCUGUCUACGGGACAGCCCCUUGGAAACACAGACACACUCACUAUCAACACAACCACACACACUAUCAACACUCUACCACACACACAACAGACAGACGAUUAAACUUGGAAUUAGCCUAAAUCUGUCGACCAAUGGCUGAGACUAAUGGUGUUACAUUACAAUAGAUGACGAUCUCGGCCUCACCUGUCAUAAGUGAAUGAUGGUGAUGAAAUAAUCUGGACCCCGUUUACGAGACACUGUGGUAACCUUUACCACUCCGUACUCAGUACUCAUCACACAGCACCUGGAGUAACAUGGUCUAACUAAUAUAAGUAGAGAAACGACUGCAUGCUGUGGUAGCGGAAUCAGAAUUCUUUAGGUAACAUUGAUAAAUAAGAUGUUUUAUCAAUGUUCAUAAGUAUGCUUAUGUGGGAAAGUUACUUGGGCCCCAGAGAGGGGAGAGGUCAGGCUUGUCUUCUUAUGGGAAUGUGUCUGUAACUAUUACUCGUCCCCUCUGAGGUUGCCUUUCUCUUGAUUUAGUAUAUGGCCUAGGAGGCUCACUGUCUCUGUGAGCUUGUCCAGUAGGGGUUGUAUUUUUGUUGGGAGUGUCUAGAAUUGACAAUUGAUAUAUGCCAUUGGAUGAGGUAAAGUUUUGGUUCUAAGUGGUACCAAGAACGAGAUGAAAGAACUUAGUUUAGGAGAACAAACUGAACGAUAAUUUAUAGCCAAUGCUGUCUGGCUAUGUGUGUCUUUGCAAUAAAUAAUCUCAGUUGCCAUUAUGUAAGCACUCUCAGAUAAUUCAUUUAUGGACACUGAAUUGAUCUGAGAGUCACAGGGCUAUGGUGAAGCUCAUAUAAUUAAAGAUGGACUUUAUGAUAACUCUGACUUGUGUGUGGUUUGCUCUCUCAUGAUUUGGUAAUACAGGAAAUUUCCACGACAUUGCACAGCAGGAAAUGUGACACUUCUGACACAUUUUGCUAGAUACACCCAUACUCUGUGCAGCACCCAAAUCAAGUGGCAAGAAUAUGCUUAUGAAGAUUCUUCCUAAAUUCAUGGGCAGCAUUCUGAGCAAUGUGAAACCAGAAGAACUAUGCAUGUAUAUUGGUCGAACUUGAUGCUGUGAAUCUAAUCAACAUAUUACCCAUGAAGAUUUUCUACAUUUUGAUUAUUGUUCAGUGUCCAAUCACCAUCAAAACCCUCACUCACCGUGUCCUUCUGUUUCAGGGGGGUCACCAUGAAGAUGAUCCUAACAUUCUGCUCCCACACCAUCCUCCAGAAGUCAGCCAUGGUGCUGCGCAAAGGUCCCUGGCUACAGAUUAAGUCUGGCUCUGUACAGCCCCCUGAAAAGCAGACCGCUGACUUGAUGAAUGGAUAUAUGGACAGACAGAGUACUUACAGGGACAUAACUAGCGUUGUUAUAGCUUCACUCUACAGUGGUAAUCUAAAAUCACAGGGACUGUUAUUAAUCAACGUGGUCAGAAAGUGGGAAGCAUUACCGAACAUGGGAGAGAUGUGAAGGAUGUGUUCAUGUACUUAGAUACAGCAGGUUAUAUAGUCAUGGUAAUUACACUCCUAUUACUCAGGGGCAGCAUGUGGUGGUGCUAUGAUAUGGUGUGUGCUAUGAUACUCUCAAGGCAGUAUGUAGGGGUAUCUGUUCUCUCUGUUAGCCUUCCAGGUCUCCAGCCCUGGUAGUGAGUUCUUUACCAUCAUCCAGCUCCUGAAGAAUAAACAGCUAAUGGGACACUGAAACAGCCACAGCAGACACUGCACAAAGACUCCAAAGCACAAUCAUCUACUGUAUGGCCUAGAUUAGUGAGUUUGGUUUACCUCAAACCGCCCUUGGCAGCGAGUGAUUGAAAGCACAGGUGGAAUUCCUGUAGUAUAUGUGCCCGUGAAAGCACCCUUAUUCGAUGUGGAAAUAUGGCAACAGUCUUCAACCGAUUAAAACAUGUUUUUUAAACAACUCUUUAAAUUGAGCUCCAAUUUUCCUCAAAGUGGUGUUUUUACAAGUGACUACACCUAUAAUGUUCUUAAUUCCAUCAUUCCAUGCUGGGUUGAUUUGAGAAAACAACAAUAGGCUAAAACACUUCACUAACCACACUCAGUUACUGUAUAUCAACUAAUGAAAGGUUACUUUUCUCUUCCAUAUUUUAGCAGAUGCUCUUAUCCAGAGCAAUUACGGUUAAGUGCCUUGCACAUCAACAUAUUUUUCACCUAGUUGGCCUCAGGGAUUCGAACCUUUCGGUUACUGGCCCAACGCUCUUAACCGCUCCGCUACCUGCCACCCAUACCAUUUCACAAAGACUCAAGUUAUUAUAUCCACUCCUUCAGUGACUUUCAGAGUUCCUCACCUCAUGUUUGUUAGGGGUGCAGAGAUUAGGCAAAGCUUCCUUUGGUAACCAAGAACGGAAGUAUAGUGUAGAGGGAGCCAGGCUGGUAAGGUGGUGUUGGGUAGUUUUAAAAGAAAUGUGAUCAGAUGAUCACAAAGCCAAAUCCCCCACCCACCCCUGUUAGCUAAAGAGGAAUUUGGACACACAGUGGCUCUCACACACACAAGGAUUUGAACACCAACCUGAGAACACUAUAAAAACCUGCAUCAACAGGUCUACAACUCAAAACACAGGUAAAUUACAGAGUGAGCAACCCCAGCCUAGUGUUCCUUAUUAGUUAGUAUCACCUUUGUAACUGCUCCUUUGAGUGAGAAAGAGUUUAGAGAGCAACGGGGGCUCUUCCCAUCGAUGUGUUAUGUCCUGUCAAGUUGUCAGCCUCCAAUUAUCCAAGCCACCACAUUUUAUUCUCUCAAUUCAAAGGAAUUUAUUGGCAUAGGAAACAUAUGUUUACAUUGCCAACGCAAGUGAAUAGAUAAUAAGCAAAAGUGAAAUAAACAAUUAAAAAUUAACUGUAAACAUUACACUCACAAAGGUUUCAGAGAAAUAGAGACAUUUCAAAUGUCAUUGUGGCUAUGUACAGUGUUAUAACGAUAGUUAAAGUACAAAAGAGAAAAUAAAUAAACAUAAAGAUGGG
Long non-coding RNA from Oncorhynchus masou masou (cherry salmon), 4207 nucleotides. RefSeq lists it as uncharacterized. The record is from RefSeq and is a predicted model, not a curated record. The transcript is spliced from 3 exons. NCBI's taxonomy places the organism in Eukaryota, Metazoa, Chordata, Actinopteri, Salmoniformes, Salmonidae.